UCCCAGCUGUGAGCUCAGAGGCAGAGCCCUGGGGCAUCUCCACCAUGGCCAUGACCUCCCUCCUGCUCCGCCUUCUCAUCCUCUGCACAGGCUCUGUGAUCUCUUCGGAGCUGAUUCAACCACUUGAGGUCUCUGUGGCCUUGGGUCAGACAGCCAGGAUCUCCUGCCAAGGAGACAGCUUUGAAAGUGAUUAUGCUCACUGGUACCAGCAGAAGCCAGGCCAAGCCCCUGUGCUGCUCAUCUAUCAGGAAAGCAACCUGGCCUCAGGGAUCCCUGACCGGUUCUCUGGCUCCAGCUCAGGGGACACAGCCACCCUGACCAUCAGUGGGGCCCAGGCUGAGGACGAGGCUGACUACUACUGUCAGGUGUGGGACAGCAGUGAUACUCAGCACACAGUGAUACAGGCAGACGUGGAAGUGACAUACAAACCCCUUCUGCAUCUAUGUCACAUGCUCUUCCAGUCCCAGGAGGACGUAGACAGAACGAGGAGCAGGUGGCCCAGGGCCCCAGAUCUGAGACCCCUCAGGCAUCCCUCUUCUCCUAGCCCUCCAUGCAGGCUGUAUAGAGAGUGGAGUCAGGUUGGAUAUCGGGGGUUGGGGGGGCGGGCAGGACGAGGCUGUGCUGUUGUCAGAGCCAUGUGAGUUGGGGAAAGAGGCUCUGUUUGGAAGGACAGAUAGAGAGAGACAUGCACCCAGUGGUAGUCGACCCUGGAUCUCCAUGUGGUGGAGACUGGGGUCUCUACCUGCCCAGCUGUUCUGGGUUAAUCCCCCAAAUCCCAGCUCAUUUAACCUCCUGAAGCCCCAGGAUCUCAUGGCAGCCUGCAAGUCUGAGUGGAGCAAAGGACUGCAGUGGAUGUGCUGGGGUCCAUUCCACUUCCCUCAGGGCUGACCCCCUCAUCCCCUACUGGGAGCCCCUGGCAGCUCGCUGAGCUGAGCCCAAAGCUGGGGCUGGCCUUGCAAAGGCUCCCUCCCCAUGACUGUGCCCUCUCCGAGCGGGCUUCUGCCCAACAACUGUCUGGGGCUGAGAUCCCAAGUCCCUUACUCACUCCAGGGUGACCUCGUGGGGCUCCCAGCUGAGUCCCCAAUUGUUACCACAUUGCAGGUUGGCCAAGUCUUGUCUCUCUGACAAAGGAGAUAAUAUGAAAUCACAAGGACAUACUCAGUUAAUUUGAAAAAGACAGAAAAAGGGAAAGAGGAAUAAUGAACAGAUGGGACAAAUAGAAAAUACAUUGAUGACAAUGGUAUAUUUCAACAGGACC
Manis pentadactyla (Chinese pangolin) is the source of this 1258-nucleotide non-coding RNA. NCBI's taxonomy places the organism in Eukaryota, Metazoa, Chordata, Mammalia, Pholidota, Manidae. The record is from the annotation of a RefSeq genome assembly.